RNAcentral lists this unclassified non-coding RNA (305 nucleotides) under plant metagenome. RNAcentral's name for it is "partial contains 5.8S ribosomal RNA, internal transcribed spacer 2, and large subunit ribosomal RNA". The stretch from base 1 to 105 matches the Rfam family "5.8S ribosomal RNA", at positions 50 to 154 of the family's 154-position model. The record is from RNAcentral.
GAAAUGCGAUAAGUAAUGUGAAUUGCAGAAUUCAGUGAAUCAUCGAAUCUUUGAACGCACAUUGCGCCCGCCAGUAUUCUGGCGGGCAUGCCUGUUCGAGCGUCAUUUCAACCAUCAAGCCCCCGGCUUGUGUUGGGGACCUGCGGCUGCCCGCAGGCCCUGAAAAACAGUGGCGGGCUCGCUGUCACACCGAGCGUAGUAGCAUACAUUCUCGCUCAGGGCGUGCUGCGGGUUCCGGCCGUUAAACGACCUUCAUAACCCAAGGUUGACCUCGGAUCAGGUAGGAAGACCCGCUGAACUUAAGA